UACGUAGGGUGCAAGCGUUGUCCGGAAUUAUUGGGCGUAAAGAGCUCGUAGGCGGUCUGUCGCGUCUGCUGUGAAAACUCAGGGCUUAACCCUGAGCUUGCAGUGGGUACGGGCAGACUAGAGUGCGGUAGGGGAGACUGGAAUUCCUGGUGGAGCGGUGAAAUGCGCAGAGAUCAGGAGGAACACCCGUAGCGAAGGCGGCACUCUGGGCCGAUACUGACACUGAGGAGCGAAAGCGUGGGGAGCGAACAGG
Molecule: ribosomal RNA, 253 nt
Filed under: uncultured bacterium
Lineage: Bacteria
Description: partial 16S ribosomal RNA
Rfam family: Bacterial small subunit ribosomal RNA
Source: RNAcentral